UGGAUGAAACAUUCCGCUUGGCAAAGAGUAACUCAUUUUAAUGCCUCUCGCUACCCCUGGCCCUAGUUUUGAAGGAAUCAUGCGACACACUCGCACUCCACUACCCCAUCCCAUGGAAAAACGCUCCCACCAUCGAGGUGUUGACCAAAAUUUCGCUUUGUGCAUGAGACACACACUAGCACUCCUCCAGCCCUCCACAGCUGAACGCUCCCACCGUUGCGAAUUUGCGAGAAUUUUUGCUAUGAGCGUGAGACCCUGAAGCGCCAGAGAUGACACUAUGUGUAAAGACGAUCAUAAUUCGAUAUGGUCAAAAUGCGUCGUUUGUCGUUUCAUUUAUCUGGUAAUGAUGUUUUCACUUCAUCAAAAUUUUAAACAUUAACAACUAGGCUGAUAACAAUAGUUGAAAUGUAAAUCAGAAUAAAAUCAAUUCAUUUGAAGUAAAAUAAAUUCCAUUAUACUUUAUUUUGACCAUAUGAUCAACACUUGUACAUAGUGCCAUUUACUUUGUGUUCUUCACUCUCGCGUUGUGUUUUGAUCGUUCGAAACUCAUUGUCAGAACGAAUGCAAAUUUCAUUUGGGAAGGAUCGGUGCCGGAAGAUGCAGUGAAAAUUAUAAAAUGUUUAUAUAAAAGUGGUUAAGUAAAUCGUGAAAGAUGUAAACGCAGGCGUAACUGCAGUUUGUUCUGUUACAUGAUCUACGGCUAUUUCAUUGCCAAAGCACCUGAUAACCGUUCAAAGAAGGUGAAUUGGGCUUACAGAGUCGCCAUUUAACUUCAAUAUAUUCGUGAUCGGAAAACGCAUCAAACAACAAGUGUUUUUCUUCCAACAGCACGCGCCAUCGGUGGAGCAAGCAGCCAACGAUUUGAUCGCCAAUACGCGCCAUCAAGUAUUAUAAUAUUCCCGAAUAGCUCUGAGAAUAAAAAACUGCACACUUACUGUCCGAAUUUCCUGGAAUUUUUUGAUCGGUCUACGCUCGCGGGAAUGGUGGGUCCGUUGAGGAGAAGGAAAGAAAGGGUGGGAGCGAGGAUUAACCAAAAACGCGGCAUUGAGAAUGAGGGGAGGUGCGCUCAGCGCUCACGCUGGGACACUCACGAUGCUUGAAAUAAAAUGUUAACAAGCAUCGAUUUCAAGCAUGCAUGUCGCGCGACAUUUUGCCAAGCGGGAUGGCCGUAACAAC
Molecule: long non-coding RNA, 1176 nt
Organism: Anopheles coluzzii
Lineage: Eukaryota; Metazoa; Arthropoda; Insecta; Diptera; Culicidae
Exons: 3
Source: RefSeq, a predicted model, not a curated record